GUUAAAAAUAAAUGAAUCCUUUGCAUGAUGUUGCAGAAGCAAGGGGAACCAGGUUUGCUAAAGUAAUUGUGGGAAUAGUAAUGUUUUAGCUUCAGGGACUACUGAGGUGGCUCAUUCUUUCCUACUACAGUA
RNAcentral lists this small nucleolar RNA (132 nucleotides) under Echinops telfairi (small Madagascar hedgehog). The record is from RNAcentral. Lineage: Eukaryota; Metazoa; Chordata; Mammalia; Afrosoricida; Tenrecidae.